GACGAACGCUGGCGGCGUGCUUAACACAUGCAAGUCGAGCGGUAAGGCCCUUUCGAGGGUACACGAGCGGCGAACGGGUGAGUAACACGUGGGUGACCUGCCCUCAGCUCUGGGAUAAGCCUGGGAAACCGGGUCUAAUACUGGAUAUGACUCCAUGACGCAUGUUGUGGGGUGGAAAGCCUUGUGCGGCUGAGGAUGGGCCCGCGGCCUAUCAGCUUGUUGGUGGGGUGAUGGCCUACCAAGGCGACGACGGGUAGCCGGCCUGAGAGGGCGACCGGCCACACUGGGACUGAGACACGGCCCAGACUCCUACGGGAGGCAGCAGUGGGGAAUCUUGCGCAAUGGGCGAAAGCCUGACGCAGCGACGCCGCGUGAGGGAUGACGGCCU
RNAcentral lists this ribosomal RNA (388 nucleotides) under uncultured bacterium. RNAcentral's name for it is "bacterial SSU rRNA". It matches the Rfam family "Bacterial small subunit ribosomal RNA", at positions 28 to 417 of the family's 1533-position model. The record is from RNAcentral.